AUGGUGAAGGAGAAGACGGUGGCCCUGGAGCGUGCGAAGAAGGCGGCGGUGCAGGCAAAGGCGAAGAAGUCCGGUCGGGGCGGAUCUUCCUCGAGGUCUGCCUUGCCGCGGGGCUGGAUCCAGGGCGACUGGAUGCCCUCGGCGAUUCGUCAGGAAGACCUUGAUGACCUGGUCGAGGCGGGAUUCAUUCCUCACGAAUCUGUGCGCCUCCCGGGGAACGAGAUUGAGCCGCAGCCUCUUGAGGGUGAGUGUGUCCUUAUCGCCACUCAUGUCGACAGCGUAUUCUCCCUGCCCCCUCAUCCUUUUUUUCGGAGUUUCUUGAACUUUUUCGGAGCGCAACUCCAUCACUUCACUCCGAAUUCCAUCGUGUACCUUGCUGCCUUCGUGUCUUCGUGCGAGAAUUUCUUGGGUUGCCGUCCUCAUUGGGGCCUCUUCAAGCACAUUUUCACUUGUCGUUCUCAGUCAGUUAAGAAAGCCAAGUCGAGUGACGAUAGGACGCAAGUGAUUCAGAUGUGCGGGGGUCUUGGGAUCCAGAUGAGAAGCAAAAGUUGUUUUCCAGCUAUGACUCUUCCUGACUCAGUCCGCGGGUGGCAGUCGACCUGGUUCUACUGCAAAGACCAGCCGACUCCUGGACAUGCGACGGGUCUUCCCCCUUUCUCCCUGAACCGACCAGAAAAACCUUCUUCUCUGAAAGUGACACCAGAAGAGAAGGCACAAGUCAAAGUGUUGGUUGGUCGAGUGGUUCAGCUUGUCCGCGACGGGGUGACCGGUAUGGAUUUGUUAGAGGUCUUCCUCAAGAGACGUAUCCAACCGCUCCAAGCUCGUGACCAUCCGAUGUGGAUGUAG
RNAcentral lists this ribosomal RNA (846 nucleotides) under Triticum aestivum (bread wheat). RNAcentral describes it as "partial small subunit ribosomal RNA". Lineage: Eukaryota; Viridiplantae; Streptophyta; Magnoliopsida; Poales; Poaceae. The record is from RNAcentral.